Molecule: transfer RNA, 76 nt
Filed under: Klebsiella phage vB_KaeM_KaAlpha
Lineage: Duplodnaviria; Heunggongvirae; Uroviricota; Caudoviricetes; Pantevenvirales; Straboviridae
Description: tRNA-Trp
Rfam family: tRNA
About the family: Transfer RNA (tRNA) molecules are approximately 80 nucleotides in length. Their secondary structure includes four short double-helical elements and three loops (D, anti-codon, and T loops). Further hydrogen bonds mediate the characteristic L-shaped molecular structure. tRNAs have two regions of fundamental functional importance: the anti-codon, which is responsible for specific mRNA codon recognition, and the 3' end, to which the tRNAs corresponding amino acid is attached (by aminoacyl-tRNA synthetases). tRNAs cope with the degeneracy of the genetic code in two manners: having more than one tRNA (with a specific anti-codon) for a particular amino acid; and 'wobble' base-pairing, i.e. permitting non-standard base-pairing at the 3rd anti-codon position.
Source: RNAcentral
UAGGUCUCUCGUAUAGUGGUAUUAUCCUGAGCUCCAACCUCAGUGACGUGGGUUCGAUUCCUACGGGGCCUGCCAA